GACGAACGCUGGCGGCGUGCCUAAUACAUGCAAGUAGGACGCAGUUGCGAACGGGUGAGUAACGCGUAGGUAACUACCUAUUAGAGGGGGAUAACUAUUGGAAACGAUAGCUAAUACCGCAUACUAGUAGAUGGACUUGCGUUGUAUUGGCUAGUAGGUCGGGUAAUGGCAUACCUAGGCAACGAUACAUAGCCGAACGGAGAGGGUGAACGGGCAAACCGGGACUGAUACACGGCCCAGACUCCAACGGGAGGCAGCAGUAGGGGAGCUGCAGCAAUGGGGAGAACCCUGACCGAGCAACGCCGAGGGAGGGAAGAAGGUUUUCGGAUCGUAAAGCUCUGUUGUUAAGGAAGCGGUACUUAACCAGAAAGGGACGGCUAACUACGUGCCAGCCGCCGCGGUAAUUC
This 407-nucleotide ribosomal RNA is filed under the name uncultured bacterium. RNAcentral's name for it is "partial 16S ribosomal RNA". It matches the Rfam family "Bacterial small subunit ribosomal RNA", at positions 28 to 526 of the family's 1533-position model. The record is from RNAcentral.